RNAcentral lists this ribosomal RNA (1393 nucleotides) under Salmonella enterica subsp. enterica. RNAcentral's name for it is "bacterial LSU rRNA". It matches the Rfam family "Bacterial large subunit ribosomal RNA", at positions 1568 to 2925 of the family's 2925-position model. The record is from RNAcentral. RNAcentral also lists the same sequence under 1 other name. Lineage: Bacteria; Pseudomonadati; Pseudomonadota; Gammaproteobacteria; Enterobacterales; Enterobacteriaceae.
GACGAGGCACUACGGUGCUGAAGCAACAAAUGCCCUGCUUCCAGGAAAAGCCUCUAAGCAUCAGGUAACAUCAAAUCGUACCCCAAACCGACACAGGUGGUCAGGUAGAGAAUACCAAGGCGCUUGAGAGAACUCGGGUGAAGGAACUAGGCAAAAUGGUGCCGUAACUUCGGGAGAAGGCACGCUGACACGUAGGUGAAGUGAUUUACUCAUGGAGCUGAAGUCAGUCGAAGAUACCAGCUGGCUGCAACUGUUUAUUAAAAACACAGCACUGUGCAAACACGAAAGUGGACGUAUACGGUGUGACGCCUGCCCGGUGCCGGAAGGUUAAUUGAUGGGGUCAGCGCAAGCGAAGCUCCUGAUCGAAGCCCCGGUAAACGGCGGCCGUAACUAUAACGGUCCUAAGGUAGCGAAAUUCCUUGUCGGGUAAGUUCCGACCUGCACGAAUGGCGUAAUGAUGGCCAGGCUGUCUCCACCCGAGACUCAGUGAAAUUGAACUCGCUGUGAAGAUGCAGUGUACCCGCGGCAAGACGGAAAGACCCCGUGAACCUUUACUAUAGCUUGACACUGAACAUUGAGCCUUGAUGUGUAGGAUAGGUGGGAGGCUUUGAAGUGUGGACGCCAGUCUGCAUGGAGCCGACCUUGAAAUACCACCCUUUAAUGUUUGAUGUUCUAACGUGGACCCGUGAUCCGGGUUGCGGACAGUGUCUGGUGGGUAGUUUGACUGGGGCGGUCUCCUCCUAAAGAGUAACGGAGGAGCACGAAGGUUGGCUAAUCCUGGUCGGACAUCAGGAGGUUAGUGCAAUGGCAUAAGCCAGCUUGACUGCGAGCGUGACGGCGCGAGCAGGUGCGAAAGCAGGUCAUAGUGAUCCGGUGGUUCUGAAUGGAAGGGCCAUCGCUCAACGGAUAAAAGGUACUCCGGGGAUAACAGGCUGAUACCGCCCAAGAGUUCAUAUCGACGGCGGUGUUUGGCACCUCGAUGUCGGCUCAUCACAUCCUGGGGCUGAAGUAGGUCCCAAGGGUAUGGCUGUUCGCCAUUUAAAGUGGUACGCGAGCUGGGUUUAGAACGUCGUGAGACAGUUCGGUCCCUAUCUGCCGUGGGCGCUGGAGAACUGAGGGGGGCUGCUCCUAGUACGAGAGGACCGGAGUGGACGCAUCACUGGUGUUCGGGUUGUCAUGCCAAUGGCACUGCCCGGUAGCUAAAUGCGGAAGAGAUAAGUGCUGAAAGCAUCUAAGCACGAAACUUGCCCCGAGAUGAGUUCUCCCUGAGACUUUAAGUCUCCUGAAGGAACGUUGAAGACGACGACGUUGAUAGGCCGGGUGUGUAAGCGCAGCGAUGCGUUGAGCUAACCGGUACUAAUGAACCGUGAGGCUUAACCUUACAACGCCGAAG